Molecule: ribosomal RNA, 492 nt
Filed under: uncultured bacterium
Lineage: Bacteria
Description: partial 16S ribosomal RNA
Rfam family: Bacterial small subunit ribosomal RNA
Source: RNAcentral
AGCGAACGCUGGCGGUAGGCCUAACACAUGCAAGUCGAACGGCAGCACAGUAAGAGCUUGCUCUUACGGGUGGCGAGUGGCGGACGGGUGAGGAAUUCAUCGGAAUCUACUUUUUCGUGGGGGAUAACGUAGGGAAACUUACGCUAAUACCGCAUACGACCUACGGGUGAAAGCAGGGGAUCUUCGGACCUUGCGCGAUUGAAUGAGCCGAUGUCGGAUUAGCUAGUUGGCGGGGUAAAGGCCCACCAAGGCGACGAUCCGUAGCUGGUCUGAGAGGAUGAUCAGCCACACUGGAACUGAGACACGGUCCAGACUCCUACGGGAGGCAGCAGUGGGGAAUAUUGGACAAUGGGCGCAAGCCUGAUCCAGCCAUACCGCGUGGGUGAAGAAGGCCUUCGGGUUGUAAAGCCCUUUUGUUGGGAAAGAAAAGCAGCAGGUUAAUACCCCGCUGUUCUGACGGUACCCAAAGAAUAAGCACCGGCUAACUUCGUG